CCUACGGGUGACAGCAGUGAGGAAUAUUGGUCAAUGGACGAGAGUCUGAACCAGCCAAGCCGCGUGAAGGAUGACUGCCCUAUGGGUUGUAAACUUCUUUUGUAAGGGAAUAAAACGAGGCACGUGUGCCUUGUUGCAUGUACUUUAUGAAUAAGGAUCGGCUAACUCCGUGCCAGCAGCCGCGGUAAUACGGAGGAUCCGAGCGUUAUCCGGAUUUAUUGGGUUUAAAGGGAGCGUAGAUGGGUUGUUAAGUCAGUGGUGAAAGUCUGCGGCUCAACCGUAAAAUUGCAAUUGAUACUGGCAGUCUUGAGUACAGUUGAGGUAGGCGGAAUGCGUGGUGUAGCGGUGAAAUGCAUAGAUAUCACGAAGAACCCCGAUUGCGAAGGCAGCUUACCAAACUGUGACUGACAUUGAUGCUCGAAAGUGUGGGUAUCAAACAGGAUUAGAUACCCUUGUAGUC
This 460-nucleotide ribosomal RNA is filed under the name uncultured bacterium. RNAcentral's name for it is "partial 16S ribosomal RNA". It matches the Rfam family "Bacterial small subunit ribosomal RNA", at positions 338 to 795 of the family's 1533-position model. The record is from RNAcentral.